Molecule: transfer RNA, 67 nt
Filed under: Monomia gladiator
Lineage: Eukaryota; Metazoa; Arthropoda; Malacostraca; Decapoda; Portunidae
Description: tRNA-Ser
Source: RNAcentral
GACCACUUAGUUUAAUAAAAAUAAGUAUUUUGAAAGUAUUAGAUAAGAAAUUUUAUCUUAGUGGUUG